CCAGCGCCCUAUAAAGAUGACAGCCGACACAGAAGCCGAGGGGAGGGAGCGACGGGCAAGCGGGACUGGGAACCGAGACACCCACACCGGCCCGCCCCGGGAGCAGCGCCCCCGAGGCCCCCUUCCCCCGACAGCAGCCUUCCUUGUGUUGUUGGUGGGGUUACAAGGACCAUCACUGAGGUGCAACAAGGGGACUUGACAUAUAGGAGAUGCCUGGUGCCAGAGCCAACAUAUGCUUUCUGUACUGAGGCACAGGAACCAGGUGCCUGGCCACCGUUCCUGCUCACCAUUUAGCCUGACCGGUAGCUGUGGCUUUUAACUGCAUUUGUCAGGCAAAGAACAAGUGGAAGCCAUGCAGGAGCUUUGGCAUCACAAGAUGCUCUAGACCCAUCUCACGUAUUCCAGCACUAGAACCAACUUCUCCAAAGAGCUGUCUUUUUGUUGAAGGAUGGUGUUUAGAAACCAAAUGAUUGUGGCCAUUAUAACUGGGAUAUCACUGCUUCUAGGCUCUAUCAGUGGACGGAGUAGGAAAUGUAUGUAUGUUUACUAAUCCAUUUAUCCAUACAUGUCUGCAUUUAUUUCUGUACCUGUCUAACUGUAUA
Non-coding RNA from Puma concolor (puma), 602 nucleotides. The record is from RefSeq and is a predicted model, not a curated record. Lineage: Eukaryota; Metazoa; Chordata; Mammalia; Carnivora; Felidae.